AGAAUCUUAAAGAAGAAUGGAAAAUAGUUUAAAUUCCAUAGACAUAUUUUGGCCCUAAGAUACAGCAGAGCCACUUAGCUACCCCUCAUCUGCAGUGUUUUGUUUCCUUGUGUUUAUUCUGCUGCUACGAUUUUAAUACCUGGCUUAAGCUGCUGUUGUUUUUUCUCUACUAAUUUGCUCAGCAGUUCUGGGAAUCAAGUGCACUGCCACAUGAAAUCGUCUUUGCAUACAUUUGGCUAAAUGGCAUUAUUCCUGGCUGCUCAGUAACUGCAUACAGCAUUUGGAUAUGAAAUUUCUCCCCAGGAUCCCCGUGCACUACUGUGCAACUCCCACUCAUGACCCCACACACUAAGAUCAGUGCAGGCAUUGCAGAACAGUGGCCAACCAACCUGAUGAGCUCUGGCACACACUGGAUGUUGGGGAUCUGCGAGGUGAAAGGUUGAAAGAAGUGAUAUGAAGGGAGAGUGAGAGAUUCACUCCUACAUACCCCGCAGUCAUUGGCUCCAUCACCACACAUACCCACGCAGUAACUGGUGGAGGAAAAGGAAGGAAAACAAUGAAGGAAGGAAUGAAAAUUUGGGAGAAGGAUGGACUUUGUAUGCUGGAGUCUGUCUGUGGUUUUAUCUCAGCUCUUUUUCACUGAGCCUUCAAUGCAGCCACAGUGGAUAGGAGCAAGGACUGGCAGGACUGAUUACACCUUUCCUUG
Non-coding RNA from Coturnix japonica (Japanese quail), 706 nucleotides. The record is from RefSeq and is a predicted model, not a curated record. NCBI's taxonomy places the organism in Eukaryota, Metazoa, Chordata, Aves, Galliformes, Phasianidae.